UACGGGGGGGGUAAGCGUUGUUCGGAAUUACUGGGCGUAAAGGGCUCGUAGGCGGCCAACUAAGUCAGACGUGGAAUCCCUCAGCUUAACUGGGGAACUGCGUCUGAUACUGGAUGGCUUGGAUUCGGGAGAGGAAUGCGGAAUUCCAGGUGUAGCGGUGAAAUGCGUAGAUAUCUGGAGGAACACCGGUGGCGAAGGCGGCAUUCUGGACCGAUAUUGACGCUGAGGAGCGAAAGCCAGGGGAGCAAACGGG
This 253-nucleotide ribosomal RNA is filed under the name uncultured bacterium. RNAcentral's name for it is "partial 16S ribosomal RNA". It matches the Rfam family "Bacterial small subunit ribosomal RNA", at positions 524 to 776 of the family's 1533-position model. The record is from RNAcentral.